UAUGUUAUUGUUUAUAGGUGUUAUUAAGAAAAAUUCAAUUUGAUAUUUCCUGCAUCUCACUGUUUUAGAAUGAGUUUACAAGAUUUGUAGCCUUUACUUUUUUGACUUCAAAAAAUUGCUUGAUGGGUGUUUGAAGUUUUUAUAUAUUCUUGAAGAAGACUACUAUAAGUUAUCUUCUUUGUGUAGGAGGCUGUUUUGUGUGGUGUUGUUGUACAGUACCUAGACGUGACAUGAGCGUGAAAGGAGCUCAAGACUCAGUUUACUUUUUGUAAGGGCUAAAAUGACAAUCAGCCGCCUAGCGUCCGACUCAGGAACACCAUCGGCUAUAAUAGCCACGACUCUGAUGGUUGGCUGUUUAAGAGUAGACAUGAAGGAAGCAGCAACACUGCAUUGAGUUAAGAAAUUAAUGAUCAGACAGAGAGAUUUUCUUUCAAGAGAAGGCUCGUAAUACUACCAACCUUCUGAAAGAUGCAAAGCUUAUAAAUACUCCAGCCGUGGGAUGUGCAGCGCAGGAAGCUUCAACUCUGUAGAAAAUGGUAAAAUUGCUUAUAAAAAUGAAUUUUAGUACAAUAACGCAAAGUUUGCUACUAAACAAAAUCAGUAUGAAGAAGGUUUAUAAAGAAGGCGAAUUUCAAGUA
Molecule: long non-coding RNA, 638 nt
Organism: Capsicum annuum
Lineage: Eukaryota; Viridiplantae; Streptophyta; Magnoliopsida; Solanales; Solanaceae
Exons: 4
Source: RefSeq, a predicted model, not a curated record